AAGGUGAAAUAAUUCCAUUGUCAUCAGUUCUCUCCUAAUGGAGAGCUCUAAGAAAGCAAAAGCAGCAACAAAGGACACUAGUUUAGAGGCUCCAGCAGAUUAGUCAACAUGAAUACAUGUGAGCUGCAAAGAAGCUGUGUUUUCAUUUCUUCUCUCCUUAACUCUCACAGGAAAAUCUCUGAUGUGGGCCGAGUCCAAGAGAAAGUAUGAAAGGCAAGGGAAUUCUGAGACACCCAGUUCAGCUUCAUCAAGUUAACUCAUCACAAUGCCCUCCGCAUCAGAUUAUUUUCUUCCAGGUC
Long non-coding RNA from Ochotona curzoniae (black-lipped pika), 299 nucleotides. RefSeq lists it as uncharacterized. The transcript has 3 exons. The record is from RefSeq and is a predicted model, not a curated record. Lineage: Eukaryota; Metazoa; Chordata; Mammalia; Lagomorpha; Ochotonidae.